Ornithorhynchus anatinus (platypus) is the source of this 393-nucleotide long non-coding RNA. RefSeq lists it as uncharacterized. The transcript has 2 exons. The record is from RefSeq and is a predicted model, not a curated record. NCBI's taxonomy places the organism in Eukaryota, Metazoa, Chordata, Mammalia, Monotremata, Ornithorhynchidae.
CCCCUCCGGCCGGGCGCUGAUUGGCGGAGCGGGACGUCGCUCGGCAGGGGCGGGCCGCGCCCGGCGCGCAGCCCGAACAGGUACAGACUGGUGUGUGCCACGGAAGGACUGCUCGCCUGGCCUGUUUAGACCGGAGUUAUUUCUGAUGCAACUGCGUAAACGCUACGCCGUUCGUUAAACCAAGUGCCCGGAACCUCAGCGACGAAGGAGAGCUGAAAUAAAAAAAGAAAAGAAGCCAGGGAAUUGUGUCCCGGGUUUCCCCUAGCCCCUGCGGGGGCCGGUCGAUGAGCCCGUUGUUGGGUAGGGGUUGUCUCUGUUUGGUGCUGAAUUGUACUUUCCAAGCGCUUCGUACGGUGCCCUGCACACGGUCGGUGCUCAAUAAAUACGACGGAA